GAUUAACGCUGGCGGCGUGCAUAACACAUGCCAGUCGAACGAUGAAACUUUAAUGAACCCUUCGGGGAGAAUUAAAGCGGAUUAGUGGCGAACGGGUGAGUAACGCGUGAGUAACCUGCCUUACACAAGGGGAUAGCCUUUGGAAACGAAGAAUAAUAUCCUAUAAAACCAUAAAAGCACAUGCAAUUAUGGUCAAAGUGAUAGCGGUGUAAGAUGGACUUGCGUCUGAUUAGCUAGUUGGUGAGAUAAAAGCCCACCAAGGCAACGAUCAGUAGCCGGCUUGAGAGAGUGUACGGCCACAUUGGGACUGAGACACGGCCCAGACUCCUACGGGAGGCAGCAGUGGGGAAUUUUGCACAAUGGGGGAAACCCUGAUGCAGCGACGCCGCGUGAUUUAGAGGGCCUUCGGGUUGUAAAAAUCUUUUGUAUAGGAAGAAAAUGACAGUACUAUACGAAUAAGGUCCGGCUAAUUACGUG
Molecule: ribosomal RNA, 477 nt
Filed under: uncultured bacterium
Lineage: Bacteria
Description: partial 16S ribosomal RNA
Rfam family: Bacterial small subunit ribosomal RNA
Source: RNAcentral